Non-coding RNA from Rhexocercosporidium sp. MPI-PUGE-AT-0058, 100 nucleotides. The record is from the annotation of a GenBank genome assembly. Lineage: Eukaryota; Fungi; Ascomycota; Leotiomycetes; Helotiales.
GCACUCUUGGUUUAGUGGUAAAAUCAGCGCUUCCCAUUCCAUGAACAGAUGGUUCCUUAGAGGUCUGCGCUGGCCCCGGGUUCGAUUCCCGGAGGGUGCA